Molecule: ribosomal RNA, 497 nt
Filed under: uncultured bacterium
Lineage: Bacteria
Description: partial 16S ribosomal RNA
Rfam family: Bacterial small subunit ribosomal RNA
Source: RNAcentral
GAUGAACGCUGGCGGCGUGCCUAAUACAUGCAAGUCGAGCGAACAGAUGAGGAGCUUGCUCCUCUGACGUUAGCGGCGGACGGGUGAGUAACAUGUGGCUAACCUACCUAUAAGACUGGGAUAACUUCGUGAAACCGGAGCUAAUACCGGAUAAUAUAUUGAACCUCAUGGUUCAAUAGUGAAAGACGGUUUUGCUGUCACUUAUAGAUGGAUCCGCGCCGCAUUAGCUAGUUGGUAAGGUAACGGCUUACCAAGGCAACGAUGCGUAGCCGACCUGAGAGGGUGAUCGGCCACACUGGAACUGAGACACGGUCCAGACUCCUACGGGAGGCAGCAGUAGGGAAUCUUCCGCAAUGGGCGAAAGCCUGACGGAGCAACGCCGCGUGAGUGAUGAAGGUCUUCGGAUCGUAAAACUCUGUUAUUAGGGAAGAACAAAUGUGUAAGUAACUAUGCACGUCUUGACGGUACCUAAUCAGAAAGCCACGGCUAACUACGUG